AACUGAUACUACCUGCGGGAACCUGCGGAAGGAUCAUUAUUGAAUGAGUUUUUAAAACGGGUUGUGGCUGGCCUCCUGUGAGGCAUGUGCAACGCCCUACUCAUCCACUCUAUAAACCCUUUGUGCAGAAUGGCUAGAGAAUUGAAUAUAUUCCUGGGGUUAAUGGAAUAUCAUCAAUUUGGUCGUAAGACUAGAUUGAUAUCAUUUUUCUACGCCUUUUUUUUCUUGUCUUAUAGACAA
Molecule: unclassified non-coding RNA, 240 nt
Filed under: soil metagenome
Description: partial contains 5.8S ribosomal RNA, internal transcribed spacer 2, and large subunit ribosomal RNA
Source: RNAcentral